RNAcentral lists this ribosomal RNA (482 nucleotides) under uncultured bacterium. Its description in RNAcentral is "bacterial SSU rRNA". It matches the Rfam family "Bacterial small subunit ribosomal RNA", at positions 30 to 506 of the family's 1533-position model. The record is from RNAcentral.
UUGAACGCUGGCGGCAGGCCUAACACAUGCAAGUCGAGCGGUAGAGAGAAGCUUGCUUCUCUUGAGAGCGGCGGACGGGUGAGUAAUGCCUAGGAAUCUGCCUAGUGGUGGGGGAUAACGUUCGGAAACGGACGCUAAUACCGCAUACGUCCUACGGGAGAAAGCGGGGGACCUUCGGGCCUCGCGCCAUUAGAUGAGCCUAGGUCGGAUUAGCUAGUUGGUGAGGUAAAGGCUCACCAAGGCGACGAUCCGUAACUGGUCUGAGAGGAUGAUCAGUCACACUGGAACUGAGACACGGUCCAGACUCCUACGGGAGGCAGCAGUGGGGAAUAUUGGACAAUGGGCGAAAGCCUGAUCCAGCCAUGCCGCGUGUGUGAAGAAGGUCUUCGGAUUGUAAAGCACUUUAAGUUGGGAGGAAGGGUAGUAACUUAAUACGUUGCUACUUUGACGUUACCGACAGAAUAAGCACCGGCUAACUUCGU